UGGUAGUGAAUAACUCUCACAAGAUCUGAUGGUUUGAUAAGGGGAAACCCGUUUCACUUGGCUUUCAUUCUCUCUUGCAGCCACCAUGCCACCUUCCACCAUGAUUUUGAGGCCUCCCCAGACACGUGGACCUAGCAACACAUGUUCUAACAUGUGUGAGACUGACUGCCUCUCCUCUAUGAAGAGAUGCCAGUGACAGCCAGGACUGGUGUAGGCUCUAUUGAGCAUCACAGUCAUAUGUGAGUGCCCAAGAGAAGCUAUUCACUUUCUCAGAUGCGGUUUGCAGAGGGAACUUCACAGGCUCUCUGGGAUUGCUCACAUUUGGCAGCUAAAGUGGAAUCACCAAUCCAAAAUACUCACCCCAGGCGUGGGGUCACUCCCAGUGGCGGAGAUGCCCUGCAUUUCCAUUGCCUGGACUGAGGAACAGAUGAAAGGGGAACCACACCAGGGUGGUGGCCUGGGAUGUGCCUACUCCCUAAGCCAAGCUUCUCUGUCCUGAGUGGGCUUAGGGUCCCCUGCAGCGUGGGUGUUAAAUGCUGCUUCCUAGGCCUCACCCUCAGAGCUUCCAGUUCAGUCGAGUCCAGGUCCCUAACCUGUCGUCGUCCAAUUGAUUUUGAUCAGGUGCCCCAUGGCCCCACUUUGAGAAGCAGAUCGAGUCCACCUGUGCAUCUUCCCUGUUGUCCCUAAAAAUAAGGCUAAAAAAAGGCACCAGUUCAAAAAUCCAGUUUAUUUGUUUGAAGUUCAGGUUUACAGUUCCUCCAAUUCUCAGAUCGCAGAAGAAGCAUCUGGAAGGAAAUGACCCCUGCACCCACCACACC
This is a long non-coding RNA of Homo sapiens (human), 818 nucleotides long. The record is from Ensembl. Lineage: Eukaryota; Metazoa; Chordata; Mammalia; Primates; Hominidae.